GACGAACGCUGGCGGCGUGCUUAACACAUGCAAGUCGAGCGGAAAGGCCACUUCGGUGGUACUCGAGCAGCGAACGGGUGAGUAACACGUGAGUAAUCUGCCCUUCACUCUGGGAUAGCCACCGGAAACGGGGAUUAAUACCGGAUACGACCACUCCACGCAUGUGGUGGUGGUGGAAACUUUUUGGGUGGGGGAUGUGCUCGCGGCCUAUCAGCUUGUUGGUGGGGUAAUGGCCUACCAAGGCUUCGACGGGUAGCCGGCCUGAGAGGGUGACCGGCCACACUGGGACUGAGACACGGCCCAGACUCCUACGGGAGGCAGCAGUGGGGAAUAUUGGACAAUGGGCGGAAGCCUGAUCCAGCAACGCCGCGUGAGGGAUGACGGCCUUCGGGUUGUAAACCUCUUUCAGCACCGACGAAGCGCAAGUGACGGUAGGUGCAGAAGAAGGACCGGCCAACUACGUGCCAGCAGCCGCCGUAA
RNAcentral lists this ribosomal RNA (480 nucleotides) under uncultured bacterium. RNAcentral describes it as "partial 16S ribosomal RNA". It matches the Rfam family "Bacterial small subunit ribosomal RNA", at positions 28 to 523 of the family's 1533-position model. The record is from RNAcentral.